AAGUGUUGGGCUAAAAGAGUUAGUUACAGAAUUAGUUAGUUGAAAUGUAAAUAAAUAAGAAAUGUAAAACUCUGUUUUGAAUCAUUAAAUCACACAAAACACACUCGUACAAACUGUCAUCUUUGACAGUUGGUUACUGUAGCCCCAACUCUCGCCCCCCUUUUCCAUUACUGUCUCUGCAGGACCAAUCGCCGGUGACCCCACUUGUGCAUAGCUAAGAAAGGAUUCCCGACUCCGGUGACUACGAGAUUUAAUAUGGUAUCAGUCGGAAACGACAUCAACCUGAGCAACAUUUCUGCAAAUUCAAACUCUAAUGGCUCUGGAAAUGCAGAACAAUUUUCGCAAGAAACCAUGUCAAGUUCAAGCUCCCACGAAGGAAAAUACAUCAAAUCAUUGAGAAGAAAAGAAAGGAGAUCGGCAAACAAGAAAAGAAAAGAAUUGAGAAAUAAAAAGUUCUCAAGAAAGUCACCUUUCUUCUUAACUUCUGGCGAUCAUCCAGGAGCUCAGAUGGUUGCUGAUAAACUGACAGGGGAGAAGAACUAUGUAGCAUGGGUAAAUUCCAUGAAGCUAUCAUUAGUCUCAAGAAAAAAGAUAGCUUUCAUCAAUGGAAAAAUCAAGAAACCAGUUGAUGAAGAGGGAGAAGAAUAUGAAGAUUGGGAGAUGGUCAAUGGACUGGUUCUCUCAUGGAUAAUCAAUGG
Molecule: long non-coding RNA, 698 nt
Filed under: Zostera marina
Lineage: Eukaryota; Viridiplantae; Streptophyta; Magnoliopsida; Alismatales; Zosteraceae
Description: long non-coding RNA (ZMAR_LNC004401)
Source: RNAcentral